GAAAUGCGAUAACUAAUGUGAAUUGCAGAAUUCAGUGAAUCAUCGAGUCUUUGAACGCACAUUGCGCCCCCUGGUAUUCCGGGGGGCAUGCCUGUCCGAGCGUCAUUGCUGCCCUCAAGCCCGGCUUGUGUGUUGGGUCGCCGUCCCCCUCUCCGGGGGGACGGGCCCGAAAGGCAGCGGCGGCACCGCGUCCGAUCCUCGAGCGUAUGGGGCUUUGUCACAUGCUCUGUAGGAUUGGCCGGCGCCUGCCGACGUUUUCCAACCAUUCUUUCCAGGUUGACCUCGGAUCAGGUAGGGAUACCCGCUGAACUUAA
This 314-nucleotide unclassified non-coding RNA is filed under the name fungal sp. RNAcentral describes it as "partial contains 5.8S ribosomal RNA, internal transcribed spacer 2, and large subunit ribosomal RNA". The stretch from base 1 to 105 matches the Rfam family "5.8S ribosomal RNA", at positions 50 to 154 of the family's 154-position model. Lineage: Eukaryota; Fungi. The record is from RNAcentral. RNAcentral also lists the same sequence under 2 other names.